GUCCACGCCGUAAACGAUGGGCACUAGGUGUUGGGGGGUGUCGACUCCCCCGGCGCCGUAGCUAACGCAUUAAGUGCCCCGCCUGGGGAGUACGGCCGCAAGGCUAAAACUCAAAGGAAUUGACGGGGGCCCGCACAAGCAGCGGAGCAUGUGGUUUAAUUCGACGCAACGCGAAGAACCUUACCUGGGCUUGACAUGUUCGUGACAGGUGUGGAAACACACUCUCCCUUCGGGGCACGAUCACAGGUGGUGCAUGGCUGUCGU
RNAcentral lists this ribosomal RNA (264 nucleotides) under uncultured bacterium. RNAcentral describes it as "partial 16S ribosomal RNA". It matches the Rfam family "Bacterial small subunit ribosomal RNA", at positions 793 to 1055 of the family's 1533-position model. The record is from RNAcentral.